RNAcentral lists this ribosomal RNA (342 nucleotides) under uncultured fungus. RNAcentral describes it as "SSU rRNA". It matches the Rfam family "Eukaryotic small subunit ribosomal RNA", at positions 292 to 636 of the family's 1831-position model. Lineage: Eukaryota; Fungi. The record is from RNAcentral.
GGUUCAUUCAAAUUUCUGCCCUAUCAACUUUCGAUGGUAGGAUAGUGGCCUACCAUGGUUUCAACGGGUAACGGGGAAUUAGGGUUCUAUUCCGGAGAGGGAGCCUGAGAAACGGCUACCACAUCCAAGGAAGGCAGCAGGCGCGCAAAUUACCCAAUCCCGACCGGGGAGGUAGUGACAAUAAAUACUGAUACAGGGCUCUUUUGGGUCUUGUAAUUGGAAUGAGUACAAUUUAAAUCCCUUAACGAGGAACAAUUGGAGGGCAAGUCUGGUGCCAGAGCCGGGUAAUUCCAGCUCCAAUAGCGUAUAUUAAAGUUGUUGCAGUUAAAAAGCUCGUAGUUG